This is a long non-coding RNA of Pipra filicauda (Wire-tailed manakin), 656 nucleotides long. RefSeq lists it as uncharacterized. The record is from RefSeq and is a predicted model, not a curated record. Lineage: Eukaryota; Metazoa; Chordata; Aves; Passeriformes; Pipridae. The transcript has 4 exons.
CAUGAGAAGAAAGAACUCAUAUUUUCAGUGACCUCUAAGAAUCUCUAAUAUUUUGGGAAGGUUCUGCUUGAAACAAUGAUUGAUAUUAGAGAUAAUGCAUGUUUGAUUUGCCCUGGGAGCAGGAAAUCCUUUUUAAAGCCCAGUUCCUCGAGGAUAUCUGGCUUAAAGUGCAUGAAUCGCUGCUUCUGAGAAAACGCACUGUGUGCAGAAUCCUUUGUCAUGGGAGAAACACAGGAAGCACAAUACUGCAACAUCUGCAACUGCUCUGCCCUGCUGGGAUUGAACUCUAAUUUUCUACAUAAUAACGGAGAUGAAUAUCCCGUAAAGAUGCAAAUGUAGGACAGGUCUUCACAGAAAACAGUUUUCAAGUACAAUGAUGGGAUACAGAUCAGAAUUUGGACCAUAAACAAGAUCUCACAGCCUCUACAACAAAACUCUGCAUCUGAAAGUGAAGAGGGAAUUAAUUCUGUAUGGAUGAUGAAAGAAGAGAACAGGAGCAGAGGAGAUGGUUAUAGAAAAAAUAAGAGACAGCAACAACAUCUCUGUAUACCAAAUACAAAUUCUCAAGAGAAGGAUGGAAAUAACAGAGAGAAGCUGUGGCCUCCCUUCCCUGAUUACCAGAACUGAGGAGAAUCAUACAGAAACAGCUGUGUAAU